UAUAAAUUAGUGUAUAUUGCACAUAGAUUUUUGAAAUCUAUAGACGAACUAUUUCGAUUUAUAA
Molecule: transfer RNA, 64 nt
Filed under: Neoamphitrite affinis
Lineage: Eukaryota; Metazoa; Annelida; Polychaeta; Terebellida; Terebellidae
Description: tRNA-Gln
Source: RNAcentral